UGGGGAAUUUUGGACAAUGGGCGCAAGCCUGAUCCAGCAAUGCCGCGUGCAGGAUGAAGGCCUUCGGGUUGUAAACUGCUUUUGUACGGAACGAAACGGCCCUGGUUAAUACCUGGGGCUAAUGACGGUACCGUAAGAAUAAGCACCGGCUAACUACGUGCCAGCAGCCGCGGUACUACGUAGGGUGCGAGCGUUAAUCGGAAUUACUGGGCGUAAAGCGUGCGCAGGCGGUUAUAUAAGACAGAUGUGAAAUCCCCGGGCUCAACCUGGGACCUGCAUUUGUGAAUGUAUAGCUAGAAUACGGUAGAGGGGGAUGGAAUUCCGCGUGUAGCAGUGAAAUGCGUAGAUAUGCGGAGGAACACCGAUGGCGAAGGCAAUCCCCUGGACCUGUACUGACGCUCAUGCACGAAAGCGUGGGGAGCAAACA
Molecule: ribosomal RNA, 427 nt
Filed under: uncultured bacterium
Lineage: Bacteria
Description: bacterial SSU rRNA
Rfam family: Bacterial small subunit ribosomal RNA
Source: RNAcentral